AAAAAAUUAUGUUUUGUUUAGUUCGAGCUGUUGUUGUCGCUUACGUUUAAAUUAAUUAUGUUUAAAUUAUUCGUGUACAUUUUAGUUUGUUUGUUUAUAUUGUUGAUUUUACAGGAAACACAAUGUUUUCCCGAUCCGAAACCGCAAAUAUUCAUAGUAGAUGGAUAUGACGCCGACGAUUUGACGCUGUCCAGGUUCAAGAUAAAUGACACAGAUGUCAUGACAGACAUCAUGAAACAUUAAAUUUGCAUCGUAGGGUACACUUUGAUUGGUGGCAAAAUAAAUUCUGGUAGUUUUUGUUGCUAAAUACUUGUUUUUAUUUAAACAAUCUUAAAUUACAAAAAUUUGCCUUGCUUCACGACAUAGCUUCUAGGAGAGAGAAAAAAAAUUGUGACGUGCAAAAAGGCGGUAUUUUCCUUAAUGUCAUAUAAGAAACGUCAAAAUAAACUUUGCUUUAGUUACCGUUAAAAAUAAUUAUUACAUUGUACUCUUGUUUGUUAAUUUGUGUUUUAUUUUAAAAAAUAAAUCUUAACUAACUUACUUAACUAAAAAUUCAAGUUCUCAAAAUGACUAUGUUAUUAAUAGAAAAGUUUAAACAUACUAUAUAUAAUAUGCUUAAAUUUAUCUAAAGUAUGUUUUACGAUACGCACGAACGGGUGAACCAAACGCACGAGAAUAUAGAGUGGUCCCAUUCUAAGGCGGUAACCACACCAAAUCAUAACAUUAUUAUGACAUUAUCUUUAAAAUAACUAAUAACUAUUCUAUUUCAGCCAUUUUACAUUUAUAA
This is a long non-coding RNA of Plodia interpunctella (Indianmeal moth), 787 nucleotides long. RefSeq lists it as uncharacterized. The transcript is spliced from 3 exons. NCBI's taxonomy places the organism in Eukaryota, Metazoa, Arthropoda, Insecta, Lepidoptera, Pyralidae. The record is from RefSeq and is a predicted model, not a curated record.